CACUGAAAUUGACAAAAAAGAAAAUCAAUUGGUAACAGUCACUGUGCCUGCAGCAAUCAAGUGUCGCUGGUCCCUCCGGCCAUUUGGGGAGUACUCUGGAGCCCUGUUGUCAGGGGAGUGAGUGGGUGGUUCCAGCCGCAGAGGGCUCUUUGCGCCUCACCUGAUCCCACAAUGGGGACAGAGCUGAGCCCCCUGGCUGGGACUGCAAGGGAAGGACGACAAGCCUCUGACUGUGGGGGAGGCCAACGCACUGCCGAAUGGCUCCUGCAACAGUUCAGGGAGCCCUCUACAGCCUCAUAGCACGGACCUGCUUUCUCACACACCAGCUGAGAGUGCCAGGAGACUGCAUUUUUCCCUACAUCUUGCAACUGUAGGGAUUGGGUAUCACCAGUCCUGUGGCCAUGUAGGGAGCCCGCUGCAACUUCGCUGUCUCAGCCCCACUCCCUUACUUGUGUGACUGCAGAGUUGCAGAGGGCUCUCUAGACAGCUGCAGCACCAGUGACACCCAAUCCUUGCAGGCAUUAGGUGCAGGGGAGGCUGCAAUUAUCCUGGCCCAUUGGCACAGAGAUCCCUGGCCAGGAUUGCAAAGCAGGACCUCAAGCUCCUGGCUGUGCAGGAGACCACCCUGUCGUUGAAGAGUUCCUGUCUGGGGAUAGCUCGCACGUUCCUGUCUGGAGAGUGAGUAAGUGGGGCUGAUGACACCGAAUCACUGCAGGCACAAGAUGUAGGGAAAGCUGUGAUACUGGCCUGGCAGACUAGAGACCCCUGGCCGGGACUGCGACGAGGAGUCAGUAUUGUCCCCAGCCAGGGAGGAGGCUGCCCCAUUGCUGAAUGGCUCCAUUGCUGGGCAAGAGCCAUUUAGCAGUGGGAUGGCCUCCCACAGAGCCAGGGAAUCGUCUUUGUCCUCCUCCUCGUUCCUCCUUGCAGUCCUAGAUGGGGGUCUCUGCUGUGCCCCACCAGGACCCCAGCUUUCCUCGCACCUUGUGCCUGCAGGGAUCCGUUGUCACUGGCCCCACGGCCUUGCAUGGAGCCCUCUGCAGCUCUGUUGUCAGAGCCCCACUUGUUCAUUCACCAGCCCAGAGCAUGGGAGCCAUCCCCAAGCAGGAACAGUUCAGCAGUGGGGCCUGCCUCAUGACCUGGGGCUAAUCCUUACCCUGGCCAGGACUGAAGGAGAUCUCCACUGGGCCAGGAUGACUGCAGUCUCCCAUGUACCUGGUGUCUUGGGCCCCUCAGCUGCAUAGGAAACCUCCUGCAACCCUGCUGUUAGCGCUGCCCUAACCCUAGCCCUACUCCCCACAACAGUAAAAAUAAAAAUAAUUUAAAAUAGGAAAAAACCCUUUUUUAAAAAAAAAUAAAUUUAUUUUCAACAAUAAAAAAUAGAAAAAAUUGAGUUCUGCCAGCACUAAAUGUAACCUAGGUUUGUAUGUGAUGCAUAAUGACAUUUUUUAGAAGUCUCUAGGGAGGAAGGAGGUUUUGAGAUUAAGGUGUUAAAGUGGAUUUUGGGAGAUCUGGAUUCAGUUUUCAGCUGUAUCACAGACUUCCUUCUUUCAUGACCUUGGGCAAGUUACUUAUCUCCUGUCCUCUGAGACAAUUGGGGUGUAGGUAUUACCUUAUCUCACAUAGGUGUUGUGAGGAUAAAUCCACAGAUACUUGGGAGAGGCUCCAAUGCUGUUGUGAUGGGUGUCAUAUUAGUACCUAGACAGAUGCUUGAAAACUUUAGACCUGUUCCUGCAACUACCUCAAUGUGAACAGGAUUGGGGCCUUAGUCAUAUUGUGAUGUUGUUGCCCUGCUUCUUUAUUGUACAGACACUUUUAAAAUCAUAAAAUGUUAAAAUAACACCGUUUUUUUUAACAACUGUAUCAGGUUAGUUUGUAAACAAAAUAUGUUUAACUGAAGUGUCGUAGUCCCCAGAUGGCAUUGUUUUAUAGUCACAGUGUUCUAAGUUGCUUAGGCAAUUCUGAAAAUUUUAUCCAAGAAUUUUACUUACUCUCAAAGGCAUAAUGCAUUUUUAAUGAGAUUUUUAAAAAGCAGUAUAGACUAUAAAACAAACACUGUUGUAAGGUGACUUGAGCAUUUAACUCGCUUAACAAUCACUUAUUGUCAACUUAGAUGUAGGCACAGUACUAUUUUCCAGGUAUCUGUUUAUGUGCAGGUAGCCCAUAAUUCGUAGGUCACGCAGUAACAUGUAAAGAAUCUUGUGUUUUGAAACAGCUAGACUAAGCAAAUACAAAAGCUCUAAUGCUUUGUGUAUGUUGGCACUUAGAUCAUGUUAGUGAAUCUAUUUUUACAGUUUUCAAAUGGUUCCUGCUAAUUUGGUGUAAACAUAGUUGGCCUGGCCAUUGUGAUAUGGUGAUAAGAGUAUUAAAGCAGUUAUGGUUGUAUCAUAGUAGCCAGGCAAAACAUAUUUACCUCAUUUUGGCAGGAAUAAUUUUGAACUUGUUUUAAAACGGCUCUGGCUAGUAUGGUUUUUAUGUCCAUGAAUAUGGGCCUAAAUUAAGAGGUCUUAAACUGGUGCAGGCAGUACAAAAAUAACUGGAAUCCAAGGUGUGCAAAACAAUUUGGCCUGGAUUUUCGAGAUUGGGUAUUUUAAGUUAGGCUCUAAGUGCUGGGUUUUAAAAAUCUCAGCAUCUCUUGGAAAAUAGGCCACUUAUUUAUGCAUUUAUAUGAGGAUUAGGUACCUAACUCUAGGCAUCCACUUUUAAAAACCUUGCCCGUGAUUUUGUACCUUUGAAAGAGAAGUGGUCGGGUCUGAUUUCUAAAGUGCACUAAGAUGCUGUGCAUUAAUUGGUCUGUGUAGAAUCUGCUGGUAUGCUUUAACAGCAUGCUUUUGUAUUAUGUGAAAGCUCACUAGGGAACCUUUAGUGUGCACCAGCAGGAUCCACAGGGAUAAAUUGAUAUGCUAGAGCGCUUUAGAAAGCACACCUCUGUAGACCACAUUACGCCACUGUUUAGACAAACCCUAAAAGUAAAUUACUACUAUAGUAGUCAAAUCAGGGCUUUGGAGCGGAGCUGGAGCAGUGGAGCUGCAGGCUUUUGCCUGGAGCUGGAGUGGAGCCGGAGCACAGCUCCAAAGCCCUGAGUCAAAUAGGGAUUUGUUGGAAAGGGGAAGGAAGGAAUCCAGUUUAUUGGAUUGUCUGAAGUCAUGGAUUUUCACCUUCUUUAUUUUGGGCAUUUUCAACUACCGAGUUCUGUGUUCACUUUCCUGGAUGAACAGCUGCAUCUAGUCUGUGGAAAGGAGAGUUGGGCUACUUGGACAUCAAUGCUACCUUUUGGUUAGAUGCAGUAGAAAGCUGGAGAGAAAUAUAAUCUGCAUGUGAUCAUAAAGACUUUCAACAUCAACUCUGCAGUGCCUCUGGCUUUGUUAGUUAAAAGCCGCUCCUGAACAUGGAUCAUGCUGGCUCCAUCGAGAUUCUUGCUGAUCCUUUGGAUUUGAAACACUGUAGAACAGGGGGUCCCAAACUCAAAUGACCAUGUGGCCAUGAGGGCUAGUUCAUUGGCCCUGAGGGCCAUAUCACUGACACACAGCCCCUCGCUGCCCUCGGCCCUGCCCCCACUCCACCCCUUCCAUUAGGCCCCGCCUCUUCCCAUCCCUUCCCUGCCCCAUUCCAACCCCUUUCCUGAAGUCCGCAUCCCAACUCCGCCCCUGCCCUGCCCCCAGAGGGUGCAUGAGGGGUGUGGUGGGGGCUCAGGGCGGGGAGUUGAGGUGCAGCAGGAGGUUGGGGUGCAAACGGGGCUCAGGGCAGGGGAUUGGGGUGCAGAAGGGGUGUGGGAUGCAGCAGGGGGCUCAGGGCAUAGGGUGCGGGGGUGGGUUCAGGAAGGCUUCGGGCUCCAGGGUGGCAGCAGCGCACACUGGGGCCAGGGCAGGUUGCUGGCCCCGCUCUGCUCCGGGAAGUAGCUGGAACCAUGUCCCUGCGGCCCCUGGGGGAGGGCGGGGGGGCGCAGGGCUCGGCAUGCUGCUUGCUGCGCCUCCAGAUACCUCCCCCGAAGCUCCCAUUGGCCGUGGUUCCCUGUUCCCGGACAAUAGGAGCUGCGGGGGGACGGUGCCUGGAAGCCAGGGCAACACAUGGACGGAGCCCUCUGCUUCUCCCUUCCCCCCCCCACCCCCCACUCAGCUGCAGGGACGUGAUGCCAGCUGCUUCAGGGGGUGGUGCGGGGCUUGAGGGAGGAAAUCCUGCAGCUGUAGUUUGCCCACCCCUGACCUGGAGGUAGGCCGGAGAGGAGAUGGCCUGCAGGCUGCGUGUUUGAGACCCCUGCUGUAGAACGACUGAUGCAAAUAAUCCCUUUGAGUCUUUGGUGCCUCUUUUGUGAAUAAAGUGAGCAGGAUUUGAACUUUAGAGAGGAGAUUUCUAUUAAAUAAUAUAUUUUUAAUAAAACACCGUUUAUGGCUCUUGUAUAGCAUUUUACUGCUUGGGCAUUCUUCCUAAUCAGUAUAAAGCUGAGAGCAUGCCUUUCUUUUUAAAGAAAAACAUUUUAUGGUGAUCUGUUCCUUAAAAACCAAAUUAAAAAAAACCAAAACCUCAAAAUGUUUGAGCUAAAAAAGAAAUUAACAGAAAAUAUAUAGCUUUAAAAAUGAGGUCUGUUUUAAAUAAAGAUUUCUGCUCAUUAAGACUUGAAUUUGGAAUACUUUCCUCUGCAAAGGUUCAUGACAUCACAAACACCAAAAACAGCAUUGCAGGGAGCUGCAUCCCAAAGACAGCUUUAGGUUUUUGUUACAUGCUUUUGCAGGAGAAACAGAACUUUGAAAUCGUGUUUUGGCAUGAUUAUGAGGAAAUUUAUUUUAAAAUGUUUUGUCACUGAAUCUACAUGUAUUAAGGAUCUUAAGUUUUUGUACGUAUUUAAAAAGCACUUUGGGUCACCAUUUAAAGAGAGGACACAAUCAAUACAAAUAAUAUUCCUCUUCUUUCUUUGCUUAACUGGUCUAGAGUUGUCUGAAAUUCAGCUGUCACACUGUGAAAAACUUUUUUUUUUUAAUUGGCAGACAUAAUCUGGGUACAGAUGAAAUCUUUUUGAUGUUAAAUUUGGUUUUGAAGUACCAGAUGUGUGUGUGUGUGUGUUUUUUUUUUCCCAGAAUAAUUGUUGGCACUUUUAAAAACAAAUUAUCAGUGUUUCAACUAGCUUUCGCUAGUUAUUGAUUGUCCAGUUCUGUAUUUUUAAUCUCCCUUCUGGGCAGCCCCUCUCCACAGCUUUUCUAGAACUGAUGCUUGAUGUACAAUUGAGAUUUGAUCUGGCAUAUGCAGUAGACGGGCUUAUUGAGUGAUAUUUUGUUUAAUGUUCAGUUAAGGUUGUUGUGGAGGAUACAGUGCUAGAAGUAGCCCAGCCUGCUAGAUUUGUUCUAGAACAUUGUUAAAGAAAUAAACAGUCACUCGGUUGUGAAACAAGUCAAAGACAGCUUGUUAUCUUGGGUUUUUCCUCUACAGAUGUGUGUGUCAGAUUUUUUUGUUUAUAUUACUUGUUUUACAUGACUUAUAACAAGACAUUAAUUUUAAAAAAAAACCUUUCAGGAUAAAAUGGUUUCGUGUUCUAUACAUUGAAAUAAAUUUAUCCAUGUCACUGAAUUUCUAUACUAUAUUUGUUUCAAUUUCAACAUAUGAAACAUAAAAGAACACUGGUCUGAGACUCAUGUGCUCUUGUAAAAUACAUUUAUUGAUGUAUCAUAAACUGAAUCUUCUUUUUAAAUACUGGUCACAAUGGAUAGCCUUUUGGGGAUUGAAAGGUAUAGCACAGAUAUUCAAAGUGAGCAUUACCGUCAUUCAUGUUAAAGUGUAAGUGAUGAACAACCCUUUGCAUGCAAUCUUUUAAUUCCACUUCGUGAGUCAGAUCCUUACCCCUGCACUGACCUCUUGAUGCUGGGAAUAAGGGUUAUAGCUGUAUAAAGUAGCCAGGAUUUGGCCAGCACAGGAUUUGUGAAAGAUUUUCAAGCCCUGACUCAAGAGUGUAUGUGGGCCGGGGUGAAGACACAGUAUGAAGUGUUGCACAGAUUCCAGGCAGCACUACAGCUCAUAGGACACCCUGUGCAUGCUGUUGUUAGUUAUACAAACUUUCAAGGCUGACUAAAUUAUGCCAGGGUCACUUGAGAAGACUGGAUGGAUGUAAAGUGGCUUAAAGUCACCUUCACCACCCCACAUCCUGCGUUGUGAGUUCUGUUCUGUUUUUGAGGACAACAUAGAAUCUCUCCCCAUAGGUAUAAUGCCAUUUUCCUUUCCCUGUAGAGUGUUGUUGUUUUCCUUAAGAUGCUAAUACUGGAGAGCUCAUUUUUAACUUCUAGAAUGGCUUCGAUUAAAGGGAUUGAACUGACUGGCUGCUAGGUGGGGGAAGUUAAACUGUACGCUGAGUAAAAACUCACUUCCAGCUAUUCUGAAUCUCUUUCCCCAGUAUCCUGAGUAGUUUUAUCAUUGUGAAAUCCUUGUUUGCAGUAUAAAACGUUAUAUUUUGAUAAACUCUAAAAAUAGCAAGUUGAUUUUUCUUCUGGGUUUCUCAGAAAGUAAUUGAAAAACAUUUUUGAAACUAGGACUGCAGUGUCUAGCAGCAGUUGCUAUCAGUUUCUGAGCAUUGUCUUGUUCAGUUUCAGCAUGAAGAAUCACUCUCCCUACUUUCAUAGUCCUCUCACCGUACUCCUCCCAGGAUGAUCUGAUGAAAGGCACAUGACACUGCAUGAGUUUAGUGUUCUCAUCAGCAGAUGCAGUGAAUAUCUAUGUUUAGUUUAAAAAAAAAAAAAAAGAA
Long non-coding RNA from Gopherus flavomarginatus (Mexican gopher tortoise), 6721 nucleotides. RefSeq lists it as uncharacterized. The record is from RefSeq and is a predicted model, not a curated record. The transcript has 2 exons. Lineage: Eukaryota; Metazoa; Chordata; Testudines; Testudinidae.